AUUGGCAUCACUACAGAUUGUUCAUCUUACUUGUGUCAUUCAAGCGACUAAAGUUGCUGGAAGUGCUGAAACGCUGCAUUGAUUAAAUCGAAUAGUAAUCGAAUACUUAGAGUUAGAGCUUCUAAGACUUGAGACUUUUUUCAUAAAAUUUUCAGUGAAACAUCAAAACAAUGGUUAAAUUCACUUUCUUGCUACAUAUUUUGAUGGCAUUGGCAGUGACGAUAGCUGUAUUCGCGACAGCAGCAACCGCCGAUUGUGAACCAAAGUGCGAUCCAGGUUAUCAUUGUGAGUCCAACGUUUGGAGAGCGGGCACAUGGGUAUGCAUACCGAAUGGCGCUGUCCAAUGAGCUAUGUAACUGAGAGCCAUUAUCUCUUGAGUCUUCAUGAAAAGCCCAAAUUCAUUUUAUCAAAAGUAAAUUUUUCUAUUUAAUAAACUAAUAAACGGACGUUGAAAAAUUAAUAUUU
Molecule: long non-coding RNA, 465 nt
Organism: Bradysia coprophila
Lineage: Eukaryota; Metazoa; Arthropoda; Insecta; Diptera; Sciaridae
Source: RefSeq, a predicted model, not a curated record